GACGAACGCUGGCGGCACGCCUAACACAUGCAAGUCGAACGGACUUACAAGAGCUUGCUUUUUUCAGUUAGUGGCGGACGGGUGAGUAACACGUGAGCAACCUGCCUCUGAGAGGGGGAUAGCUUCUGGAAACGGAUGGUAAUACCCCAUAAAAUAUAAAUAUCGCAUGAUAGAUAUAUCAAAGAAAUUCGCUCAGAGAUGGGCUCGCGUCUGAUUAGAUAGUUGGUGAGGUAACGGCUCACCAAGUCGACGAUCAGUAGCCGGACUGAGAGGUUGAACGGCCACAUUGGGACUGAGACACGGCCCAGACUCCUACGGGAGGCAGCAGUGGGGAAUAUUGCACAAUGGAGGGAACUCUGAUGCAGCGAUGCCGCGUGGAGGAAGAAGGUUUUCGGAUUGUAAACUCCUUUUAUCAGGGACGAUAAUGACGGUACCUGAAGAAAAAGCGCCGGCUAACUACGUG
This 463-nucleotide ribosomal RNA is filed under the name uncultured bacterium. RNAcentral describes it as "partial 16S ribosomal RNA". It matches the Rfam family "Bacterial small subunit ribosomal RNA", at positions 28 to 507 of the family's 1533-position model. The record is from RNAcentral.